RNAcentral lists this ribosomal RNA (836 nucleotides) under Erwinia billingiae. RNAcentral's name for it is "partial 23S ribosomal RNA". It matches the Rfam family "Bacterial large subunit ribosomal RNA", at positions 1570 to 2410 of the family's 2925-position model. The record is from RNAcentral. Lineage: Bacteria; Pseudomonadati; Pseudomonadota; Gammaproteobacteria; Enterobacterales; Erwiniaceae.
AAGGAAAUUAAGUACGGAAGUUCCUGAUUUCACGCUGUCAAGAAAAGCCUCUAGGAAGAGUAGUACUGCCCGUACCGCAAACCGACACAGGUAGAUGAGGAGAGAAUCCUAAGGUGAGCGAGAGAACUCUCGUUAAGGAACUCGGCAAAAUGACCCCGUAACUUCGGGAGAAGGGGUGCUCUAUUAGGGUGCAAGCCCGAGAGAGCCGCAGUGAAUAGGCCCAGGCGACUGUUUAGCAAAAACACAGGUCUCUGCAAAACCGUAAGGUGACGUAUAGGGGCUGACGCCUGCCCGGUGCUGGAAGGUUAAGAGGAGUGCUUAGCUUCGGCGAAGGUACGAAUUGAAGCCCCAGUAAACGGCGGCCGUAACUAUAACGGUCCUAAGGUAGCGAAAUUCCUUGUCGGGUAAGUUCCGNNNNNNNNNNGCGCAACGAUCUGGGCACUGUCUCAACGAGAGACUCGGUGAAAUUAUAGUACCUGUGAAGAUGCAGGUUACCCGCGACAGGACGGAAAGACCCCGUGGAGCUUUACUGCAACCUGAUAUGGAAUGUUUGUACCGCUUGUACAGGAUAGGUAGGAGCCGAAGAGACGUGUGCGCUAGCAUACGAGGAGGCAAUGGUGGGAUACUACCCUGGCUGUAUGACCAUUCUAACCCGCCACGCUUAGCGCGUGGGGAGACAGUGUCAGGUGGGCAGUUUGACUGGGGCGGUCGCCUCCUAAAGAGUAACGGAGGCGCCCAAAGGUUCCCUCAGAAUGGAUGGAAAUCAUUCGCAGAGUGUAAAGGCACAAGGGAGCUUGACUGCGAGACUGACAAGUCGAGCAGGGACGAAAGUCGGG